GUACUACUCCCUCCAUCCGAAAAUACUUGUCCUCCAAAUGAUUGUAUCUGGACUUAUUUUAAUUAUAAAUACAUUCAUUUUAUCCAUUUCGAGGACAAGUAUUUCCGGACGGAGGAGUACUAC
Non-coding RNA from Triticum aestivum (bread wheat), 123 nucleotides. NCBI's taxonomy places the organism in Eukaryota, Viridiplantae, Streptophyta, Magnoliopsida, Poales, Poaceae. The record is from Rfam.